CACCCGCCCAGCAGAGGCUGCCCAGCUGCAGCUUGCUGGGUGACUCCAAGCUCGGAAACCACCAGCCUAAGUUCUGGAGCACAGCCCAAGCAUGAAGUUCUGUCUGGGAGUAUUUUUUUCCUCCUACAGAAUCCAUGAAGUUUCAGUUUCCAGAGAAGGGCUCAGCUCUUGGGGUGUUUGGUUACUCAAGGCCUGCCUGCUGAGAAUUCCUAAGGAGUUUAGAAACACACCCAGGGCAUGGUGGAUGCUCUGGCAUCAGAAAUGCUGCCUGAACCUCCCCGCAGAAGGACGCGCCUGACUGCACUGCCCAGGCAAGGUGUGGAAACUCCCCAUCCCAGGGGAAGCAAUGCCCUCUUCUUGGGCACCUCUCAAGUGAGGCUUGAAAGAAUAAAAGAUCUCCAAGCUCUCUUUACAGUGGCCUUGCCAUGGCUCUCCAGGAGAAUGAAGGCCUCCCCUCUAAUACAGAAAACCCAGAUCUUGGGGAAAGCCUCUCCAGCUGAGCGCAGUUCAGGGGGACACUGUGUCUGAUGACUGCUGCCCAGUGAACCAGUCUCAUGGACGAGUCAGUGAUCCUCCUGACCCAAUGCUGGGGGGGCAGAACCUUACAGCCUCUGGGUGUGGCACCAAAGACCUCAUCCUGCAGAAUAGAACUGCCUGAAAGAACACCGUGCAGGCCAAUCUGAGUUACACAGUCCGACAGCCGCCACAUUAGCAAGAGCGAAAAGAGCCAGGCCAAAGUAAUAAUGUAUUCUAUGCAAUCCAUUAUAUAACAAUUUCAUCACAACAUGCCCUCAAUCUAACAAUUAUUAAUGGAAUAUUUUACAUUUCUUUUUUGCCCAUGUGUUUGAAAUCCACUGUGUAUUUUCCUCUUACAGCAUAUCUCGUUCCAGACAAACCACAUUUCCAGGGCUCAAAACCACAUGUAGGCAGAAACAGCUGUACUGACCAGCUUAGCUACAGAGGCUCUGAUUAUUAUUUAAGGAAAACUAUAUUGGAUGGUUUUUAUUUUGUGCUUUAUGGUUUUAAGGGUUUUCUUGGGUUUCUGCAAUGAACAUGAAUUAGGUUGACUGUGAAAAGGUGACUGUGGUUUGAAACUGAUCUACUGUGCUGCUGAUAGAAACCCUUUUAUUGUUUAAGGAAUAGUGGCCAGUUUAUCCGAUUUUCAUCUGCGCUGCACAAAUGUGAAGAAAAAAAGCCACUUUUGCGUGGAGGCCUGUUGGAGGCACAUUCCCAAAAUAUUUUGAC
RNAcentral lists this long non-coding RNA (1245 nucleotides) under Fukomys damarensis (Damara mole-rat). RNAcentral describes it as "lncRNA (ENSFDAG00000033554.1)". Lineage: Eukaryota; Metazoa; Chordata; Mammalia; Rodentia; Bathyergidae. The record is from RNAcentral.